AUGUUACUGUUGUUGCCAGGACACACACAAAUGACGGUCAAUAAUCAAAUCGUGGUUGGAACAUUGAUGAACUUGGCAGAUAAUCCUAACAGGGUUAGUAUCGGGCAGAAAUGGAGAGAAUCUGAUAUAACACAUAGAAUUCCAAUAAUAGCAACUGGAAAUGAUUUUUCAACACUAUAUGCUCCUUUGAUUCGUGAUGGGAGGAUGGAAAAGUUCUACUGGUAUGUUUGUCCCUGCAUCUGA
This 243-nucleotide ribosomal RNA is filed under the name Triticum aestivum (bread wheat). RNAcentral describes it as "partial small subunit ribosomal RNA". Lineage: Eukaryota; Viridiplantae; Streptophyta; Magnoliopsida; Poales; Poaceae. The record is from RNAcentral.